CAGGCUUAACACAUGCAAGUCGAGGGGCAGCAUGGUCUUAGCUUGCUAAGGCCGAUGGCGACCGGCGCACGGGUGAGUAACACGUAUCCAACCUGCCGUCUACUCUUGGACAGCCUUCUGAAAGGAAGAUUAAUACAAGAUGGCAUCAUGAGUCCGCAUGUUCACAUGAUUAAAGGUAUUCCGGUAGACGAUGGGGAUGCGUUCCAUUAGAUAGUAGGCGGGGUAACGGCCCACCUAGUCUUCGAUGGAUAGGGGUUCUGAGAGGAAGGUCCCCCACAUUGGAACUGAGACACGGUCCAAACUCCUACGGGAGGCAGCAGUGAGGAAUAUUGGUCAAUGGGCGAGAGCCUGAACCAGCCAAGUAGCGUGAAGGAUGACUGCCCUAUGGGUUGUAAACUUCUUUUAUAAAGGAAUAAAGUCGGGUAUGGAUACCCGUUUGCAUGUACUUUAUGAAUAAGGAUCGGCUAACUCCGUGCCAGCAGCCGCGGUAAUACGGAGGAUCCGAGCGUUAUCCGGAUUUAUUGGGUUUAAAGGGAGCGUAGAUGGAUGUUUAAGUCAGUUGUGAAAGUUUGCGGCUCAACCGUAAAAUUGCAGUUGAUACUGGAUAUCUUGAGUGCAGUUGAGGCAGGCGGAAUUCGUGGUGUAGCGGUGAAAUGCUUAGAUAUCACGAAGAACUCCGAUUGCGAAGGCAGCCUGCUAAGCUGCAACUGACAUUGAGGCUCGAAAGUGUGGGUAUCAAACAGGAUUAGAUACCCUGGUAGUCCACACGGUAAACGAUGAAUACUCGCUGUUUGCGAUAUACUGCAAGCGGCCAAGCGAAAGCGUUAAGUAUUCCACCUGGGGAGUACGCCGGCAACGGUGAAACUCAAAGGAAUUGACGGGGGCCCGCACAAGCGGAGGAACAUGUGGUUUAAUUCGAUGAUACGCGAGGAACCUUACCCGGGCUUAAAUUGCAGAUGAAUUACGGUGAAAGCCGUAAGCCGCAAGGCAUCUGUGAAGGUGCUGCAUGGUUGUCGUCAGCUCGUGCCGUGAGGUGUCGGCUUAAGUGCCAUAACGAGCGCAACCCUUGUUGUCAGUUACUAACAGGUUCCGCUGAGGACUCUGACAAGACUGCCAUCGUAAGAUGUGAGGAAGGUGGGGAUGACGUCAAAUCAGCACGGCCCUUACGUCCGGGGCUACACACGUGUUACAAUGGGGGGCACAGAGGGUCGCUACCACGCGAGUGGAUGCCAAUCCCCAAAACCUCUCUCAGUUCGGACUGGAGUCUGCAACCCGACUCCACGAAGCUGGAUUCGCUAGUAAUCGCGCAUCAGCCACGGCGCGGUGAAUACGUUCCCGGGCCUUGUACACACCGCCCGUCAAGCCAUGGGAGCCGGGGGUACCUGAAGUGCGUAACCGCGAGGAGCGCCCUAGGGUAAAACUGGUGACUGGGGCUAAGUCAUAAC
RNAcentral lists this ribosomal RNA (1445 nucleotides) under uncultured organism. Its description in RNAcentral is "SSU rRNA". It matches the Rfam family "Bacterial small subunit ribosomal RNA". The record is from RNAcentral.